AGAGUUUGAUCCUGGCUCAGGACGAACGCUGGCGGCGUGCUUAACACACGCAAGUCGAACGGAAAGGCCCUGCUUGCAGGGUACUCGAGUGGCGAACGGGUGAGUAACACGUGGGUGAUCUGCCCUGCACUUCGGGAUAAGCUUGGGAAACUGGGUCUAAUACCGGAUAGGACCGCACUUUAGUGUGUGUGGUGGAAAGUUUUUUCGGUGUAGGAUGAGCUCGCGGCCUAUCAGCUUGUUGGUGGGGUAAUGGCCUACCAAGGCGGCGACGGGUAGCCGGCCUGAGAGGGUGUACGGCCACAUUGGGACUGAGCUACGGCCCAGACUCCUACGGGAGGCAGCAGUGGGGAAUAUUGCACAAUGGGCGCAAGCCUGAUGCAGCGACGCCGCGUGGGGGAUGAAGGCCUUCGGGUUGUAAACUCCUUUCGCUAGGGACGAAGCUUUGUGUGACGGUACCUAGAUAAGAAGCACCGGCUAACUACGUG
This 485-nucleotide ribosomal RNA is filed under the name uncultured Corynebacterium sp. RNAcentral's name for it is "bacterial SSU rRNA". It matches the Rfam family "Bacterial small subunit ribosomal RNA", at positions 8 to 507 of the family's 1533-position model. The record is from RNAcentral. Lineage: Bacteria; Bacillati; Actinomycetota; Actinomycetes; Mycobacteriales; Corynebacteriaceae.